GCCGGAGUGGCGAAACUGGUAGACGCGCCAGACUCAAAAUCUGGUGAUGGCAACAUCGUGUCGGUUCGAGUCCGACCUCCGGCACCA
This 87-nucleotide transfer RNA is filed under the name Chromatiales bacterium. RNAcentral describes it as "tRNA-Leu". It matches the Rfam family "tRNA". Rfam says of the family: Transfer RNA (tRNA) molecules are approximately 80 nucleotides in length. Their secondary structure includes four short double-helical elements and three loops (D, anti-codon, and T loops). Further hydrogen bonds mediate the characteristic L-shaped molecular structure. tRNAs have two regions of fundamental functional importance: the anti-codon, which is responsible for specific mRNA codon recognition, and the 3' end, to which the tRNAs corresponding amino acid is attached (by aminoacyl-tRNA synthetases). tRNAs cope with the degeneracy of the genetic code in two manners: having more than one tRNA (with a specific anti-codon) for a particular amino acid; and 'wobble' base-pairing, i.e. permitting non-standard base-pairing at the 3rd anti-codon position. The record is from RNAcentral. Lineage: Bacteria; Pseudomonadati; Pseudomonadota; Gammaproteobacteria; Chromatiales.